CUAUAUUUUCCAACAAUAACUUUCAUACCUGCUAAGUUUUUAGCAUGAGAUUAUACAAAGGUCAAUUUCAAACGACCAUAUCUCUCAAAAUAAGAAGAGCUAGGUGGUCUACAACCUAUCAAAUUAAAGUCUGUUUGUCUUAUUUCCAACUCCAUCAAUCCGAGUCCAAAGUAAAAUAUUAUGAUUGAUUUAUCAGGAAAGCUUUGAUCUGGUAGUGUGUGAGGGCCAGAGUGACGGUCCGUCAAAAGAGUGAUGGCCCAUCACAAAUGGGCGUCACACUUGACCAGGAAAAUCAUUUUGGCCAGUUUUGCCAGCCUAAGUGACAAUCUGUCACUCAGACGACGACAUAACCAAAAAUUUUGUCGAUUUUUGCUUUAAAUAAGGGUAUAUUUAUUCUAAAGUUUUUGGAGAGUUAUCUAAAUGGCCUUAAAAUGUGUAGGAGGGUUGGAAAAAUCAGUUUUUCAUCAAUAUAAAACCCUCUCAUUCUCUCCUAAACUUCAACGCUCAAUAAUUCUCAAGAAACACCAAGCUAGGGUUCCUCCUUCAAGGUUCUUUCUUAAGUUUUGUCCCUAAGAUACAAGUGGUCGUUCUUUGCCUCAUGAUUAGAGAGUAGCAGUUCGUAGUUCAACAAUUGUGAUGCAGCUGAAGAGAUGCUUUCGGGCUUUCUUAAGCUAAAGCUUGAUGGAUUCAUAUCGUUAAUCGGACAUGUAAACUGCUGAAAAGGAUAAGGAGCAAGGUAAGAUGCUUGUUUUUCAUCAUAUGUCAUACUUUGUCCAGAAACAUGGAGAUGAACUCCUUGCUAUUGUCAAGCUUAUUGUCUACACUGAUGCCUUUUGGUGUGUGGGUGUUCCGACUAUCGGUUGGGGCUUCCUGAUAAUUGGCUAGCCUUUAUGAAACUUCAUGAUAUUGAUUGGUUAGUGCUUUUUACUCUUCAAAAUGGACAAACUUCACAUUGUAAUGUUCACCUGUUUGACCUCACUGCUAUUAAGUUUGAUUAUCCAUAUAGCAGUCAAGGUAAUGCAAAACUCCGAUGGUGGUGUCAUGCUCUGCGUGGUACUUGCUACCUGCUGAGUGCUAUAGUUGAUUUCUUAUAUUACUUUAUGUAUAUUAGUUUCUAUUUUAAGUCGGGCGACACCUACUCAUUAUCUAUUGCCCUGUACUGUCCCCUACUUGUAUAUUUCUUCGUUCCCUACUUGUAUUUUUCUUCGUUUUCCUUUUGUGGAGUGCCCUCAGGUUCUAGGGUGAGCUAUUAUUCUUAGCUCGUGUUGGAUUCUUUCAGACUUGGUAUUUUAAGAUUAGAUGCCCUUGAUGUGAUGACUUUAAGAUUUUGGGGAAUGUUAUAUAAUAGACUUUAAUGGCUUUUGUUAUUUCCUACUUUCAUAAGUUUGAGCUUCCGCAUUAUUGUUGUAUUUCAUAAGUUGAAUAGUUAAUAUAAGUUGGAUAUUUAAUAUAAGUUGGGGUUUGCAUUCGUUGGUUUGCUCAUCUAGAAGAUUAAGUAGGGUUGCCACUUAUGACCCUUUUUGGGUCGUAACAACUCGAAUCUUGAAGAUAAGGCUCUUUUUGAAGGGCGGAGAAAUGUUAUAAAUCUAGCACGAUGGAGGACCCAUGUUGAAAUAUGUCAAGUUACAUUUGGGACGCUAGGAAGAUGCCUAUAUGUACAUUGAAGAGGGAGGUAAUCUAUUAGCGCAUGCUAAGACUUGUCAAAUAUCUAUAAAUUAGGGCAUGCUAAGAACUCGAAGUGAAGAAAAUGGGUCGGGGAUGGGUUAAACUAGUGGUUUCUAAAGGAAUCGAGUAUGGAAAUUUACAUAAACAUACUACAUUAAGAAAAUAUUUACCAUUUAUAACAAUAAUAUUUUUUUUUACGGAACACUUAUAAUACAAUUUUAAUACAUAUUAGCGAUAAUAAUUU
Molecule: long non-coding RNA, 1909 nt
Organism: Solanum dulcamara
Lineage: Eukaryota; Viridiplantae; Streptophyta; Magnoliopsida; Solanales; Solanaceae
Exons: 3
Source: RefSeq, a predicted model, not a curated record